GGAGACAGCAGAGACCCCUGGCGCAGUUGCAUCGCUGGAAGUGGGGUCUGCAGUGCUGAUGGUGUUGGUUGGAGUGCUUGGAGUUCUCAGCGAGCACUAGGAGCAUCGAUUGGCGGAGGUACUCAGUCGGAGUGUCAGCGUUCCGUCACAGGAACGAUCGCCUAAACGGUUUUAACCCCUUGUGUGCUGAAACGGUCCGUUACAGGCGAUAUUCCCCUUUCAGAUUCAC
Molecule: non-coding RNA, 229 nt
Organism: Pelobates cultripes (western spadefoot toad)
Lineage: Eukaryota; Metazoa; Chordata; Amphibia; Anura; Pelobatidae
Source: the annotation of a GenBank genome assembly